RNAcentral lists this ribosomal RNA (449 nucleotides) under Austropurcellia acuta. RNAcentral describes it as "partial 16S large subunit ribosomal RNA". It matches the Rfam family "Archaeal large subunit ribosomal RNA", at positions 1922 to 2640 of the family's 2987-position model. The record is from RNAcentral. Lineage: Eukaryota; Metazoa; Arthropoda; Arachnida; Opiliones; Pettalidae.
UUCUUUAGGAGAACAUCUAAAGUAGGCCCUGCUCAAUGAUUUAUUAAAUAGCGGCAGUAUUGUCCAAAGGUAGCAUAAUAAUUUGUUUAUUAAUUGUAAACUGGUAUGAAGGGGUUAAUAGUCAUUAACUUUAUUAAAAUUAUGAAUUGAAUUUGGAAUCUUAUUGAGAAUAAUGAGAUGAAUCUUAGGGACAAGAAGACCCUAUAAAGCUUUAUGCUUAGGAUACUUUUAGAAUUAUUCAGGGUAUUUCUUUGGGGCAAAGUUUUAUGAUUGAAUUAUAGAAGAAAAAUGAAAAGGAAACUUUAUUGAAGAUCCAAUAGUAUUGAGAAGGUGAAUAAGUUACUUUAGGGAUAACAGUAUAAUUUUUGUGGAAGAGUACAUAUUGACCAUGAAGAUUGUAACCUCGAUGUUGAAUUAGCUUAAGAUAGGGGUGUAGAAUCUUCUAGGAC